UAGUUAGUAGUAUUCUCCUUUAAUUUUCAGCUUGAGUAUUGGCGGCAAGCGAUAAUCUUAUUAGUCAAGUAUGAUUUGAUUCUUGGUUUUAUAAUUCUCUAUACUGAUUUAGAUUUGACUUUUUCUCAUUGCAAAGGAAACUAGCAGACAAGGUAGCAGCAGCUGGAUUCCAGCUGGAUUCUUGGUUGUAGUUCCUGAUCUUCUGUAUGGUGAAUACUUUAGUUAUGAUCCUCAAUUUGAUAGAGAAGGAUGGUUGAAGAAACAUGGAGAGGCUAAGGGAUGUGAAGACACCAAACCUAUUAUUUGCUUUUUAUUGGUUUGCUGCUGCUUCUUGUUUUCUUGAUGAACUUCUUCUCCAAUGUUUUCAGAGGAGAAGCUUCCAUCUUCAUUACCUGACAUAUUAUUUGACAUUUUUGGAUACAAUACCUUUUCAUUAGAAAUUAGCAUAAGAUUUUUAUUAGUCUAUUUGACCUUUCAUUUUUGUUUUAGUCUGUUAGGGACAAUAACCUUGUAAAUUUUGCUUACUUUUCUGUAGCAAUUCUACAGCAACUCAUUCAAGAUGAGCCAGGAUGCUUGUUGGGGAUGUGCCAUGGCAAAAAGCAUCUUUUUAUCUUUUUAUUUGUUUAUUUUUAUUAUAUAUAUUCUAUGACCAAUGACAAAUUUGCAUCUUAUUCUCUUAUUAAAGUUCUGCAAUAGCAAUGAGUCUAGUUAGAUUGUUAAUGCUAAACCUGGGAUAUCUCAUGUUUGGUGACGAAGUUUUGCCUCAGAUAACAUUGAACUUGCCUACUAAUGCCUUUGCUUCCAAAAUUUCCCUAUGGAUAAUAGUACUUAGCCCCUUCACCAAAUAUCCUUAUUUUUAGCCACAUGCUAAUACUUAUCUAUGAAAGUAGAGCAAGACUUGUUCAUGUUCAUGGAACUUUUUUAGUCUAAAUUUUCCUUAAUUUUAAACAAAUGUGCUUUGACCAUGAACCCGCUUGCAAGGAGUCUGGAGGAGUUGCUGCCCCAUAGAAUUUCAAGUACCACUUGGUGUUUCAUGCUGCUCAGAACAAUAUUGGUUAUGGUUAUACUUUUAGCUGCUUUUCUAAUUCCUUAUUUUGGACUUGUGAUGGCUUUAAUUGGUUCUUUCCUCAGUACAUUUGUGACGGGCUAAAAGGGCAGUUGUUGCUAUGUUUGCAAGAUCAAAAGAAAGUGUGAAGAUAGAAGAUAUUAACAUGACUGAGGAGGAAAGAACUGAGAAAGAACAGAAGGAGCUUAUGCCUUUACUCACGGGCGGAAAAUUGAAGUCUUGUCAGCAUAAAGGUGUAAAGUGGUUGAUUUCACUGCAAAAUAAUAUGUAUUAAGAGUUACAUAUUAAGACUUCCAAUACUUUAUUUGUAUAAGAGUUAUUAUUUUUUA
Non-coding RNA from Arachis ipaensis, 1395 nucleotides. The record is from RefSeq and is a predicted model, not a curated record. NCBI's taxonomy places the organism in Eukaryota, Viridiplantae, Streptophyta, Magnoliopsida, Fabales, Fabaceae.